AUGAAAUUCUGCCUUUGGAAAUAGCUCAGUGUUACAACACUAUACUGUAGGUUUACACCAAUCUUUACUGUAGGUUUACACCAAUCUUUACUGUAGGUUUACACCAAUCUUUACUGUAGGUUUACACCAAUCUUUACUGUAGGUUUACACCAAUCUUUACUGUAGGUUUACACCAAUCUUUACUGUAGGUUUACACCAAUCUUUACUGUAGGUUUACACCAAUCUUUACUGUAGGUUUACACCAAUCUUUACUGUAGGUUUACACCAAUCAGUGUUACAACUCUACUGUAGGUUUACACCAAUCUUUACUGUAGGUUUACACCAAUCUUUACUGUAGGUUUACACCAAUCAGUGUUACAACUCUACUGUAGGUUUACACCAAUCUUUACUGUAGGUUUACACCAAACUUUACUGUAGGUUUACACCAAUCUUUACUGUAGGUUUACACCAAUCUUUACUGUAGGUUUACACCAAUCAGUGUUACAACUUUACUGUAGGUUUACACCAAUCUUUACUGUAGGUUUACACCAAUCAGUGUUACAACUUUACUGUAGGUUUACACCAAUCAGUGUUACAACAUUACUUCAAUUAGGGGUUAC
Molecule: long non-coding RNA, 599 nt
Organism: Pecten maximus
Lineage: Eukaryota; Metazoa; Mollusca; Bivalvia; Pectinida; Pectinidae
Exons: 5
Source: RefSeq, a predicted model, not a curated record